UGAACCAGCAACUUGGAGGAACGUAUAGCGAAAGCUAGUUGCAUUUAAUUUAGCGAAAGCUAAACUGGUGCAGAAUUGAUUCUAUCAAAUAAAGUUCUAGACAGGUUAUGAUGAUGACAUUUCCUAUCUAUGUGUCUUGACCAAAUUACGUGCCAGCAGUCGCGGUAACACGUAGAAGACUAGUGUUAUUCAUCUUUAAUAGGUUUAAAGGGUACCUAGACGGUAAAUCCAGUCCAAAAAGGAUACUAAUUUGCUAGAGUUUAAUGUGAGGGGGCACUAAAGUACUGAUAAGUGUAGAGAUGAAAUUCUGUGAUACAAUAUAAGGACAGGUAAAGGCGAAAGCAUCUCAUUAUGUAAUAACUGACGUUGAGGGACGAAGGCUAGGAGAAGCAAAAAGGAUUAGAUACCCAAGUAGUCUUAGCAGAAAAUUAUGAAUGUCAUAGGAUGGAAAUAGUGGAUAACCAUUUUUUUUUCUAUAAAUGAAAGUGUAAGCAUUCCACCUCGAGAGUAAUUUGGCAACAUUGGAACUGAAAUCAUUAGACCGUUUCUGAAACAAGUAGUGAAGUAUGUUGUUUAAUUUGAUGGUCCGCAAAAAACCUUACCACAAUUUGAAUAGAAAUUUUUAUUUUUUACAAGCGCUGCACGGUUGUCUCCAGUUAAUGUCGUGAGAUCUUGGUUAGUUCCAUUAAAUUAACGUAAACCCUUACUUUAUUUAUAUAUAGAGUAGUUCACCGCUAGAUUGGAUGUGAUAACAGGGACUAAGACAAGUCAUCAUGGCCUUAAUAUUGUGGGCUAUAGACGUGCCACAUAUGCCUUACAAAGGGAUG
Molecule: ribosomal RNA, 827 nt
Filed under: Physcia adscendens
Lineage: Eukaryota; Fungi; Ascomycota; Lecanoromycetes; Caliciales; Physciaceae
Description: SSU rRNA
Rfam family: Bacterial small subunit ribosomal RNA
Source: RNAcentral